AACGAACGCUGGCGGCGUGCUUAACACAUGCAAGUCGAGCGAGAAAGGUUCCUUCGGGAACUGAGUAAAGCGGCGGACGGGUGAGUAACACGUGAGUAACGUGCCCUUCAGUGGGGGAUAACAGUUCGAAAGGACUGCUAAUACCGCAUGAGACCACAGGGACUUCGGUUCUAGGGGUCAAAGUCUUCGGACGCUGAAGGAUCGGCUCGCGGUCCAUUAGGUAGUUGGUGAGGUAACGGCUCACCAAGCCUCAGAUGGAUAGCUGGUCUGAGAGGAUGAUCAGCCACACUGGGACUGAGACACGGCCCAGACUCCUACGGGAGGCAGCAGUGGGGAAUCUUGCGCAAUGGA
Molecule: ribosomal RNA, 351 nt
Filed under: uncultured bacterium
Lineage: Bacteria
Description: bacterial SSU rRNA
Rfam family: Bacterial small subunit ribosomal RNA
Source: RNAcentral